RNA transcript from Populus euphratica (Euphrates poplar), 2852 nucleotides. RefSeq lists it as uncharacterized. The record is from RefSeq and is a predicted model, not a curated record. The transcript is spliced from 3 exons. NCBI's taxonomy places the organism in Eukaryota, Viridiplantae, Streptophyta, Magnoliopsida, Malpighiales, Salicaceae.
GGCCAGAACACCCUCAACAUCACACACGCUCCCCUUCUCCAGCACAAAAACACAGCACUAGGAGACCAGGUUUCAGAAUGACCAAAAGAACCCCUCCUCAAGUCCCUUAAAGAAGACAGUUUACGUAGUUCUUUGAAACCACCCGUCCAUUUUCGUCCAGACAAUAUAUCCACCCCCCAAUUUUCUCUCCUCCCUCUCUCCCCUCUGCCCUUUAAAAGAAAAGAAGACCAAUAAAAUUUUUAGAGAGAGAGAGAAUAAUUUUAGAGAGAUAAACGAAAAGAAAUGGAUGGUAGCAGCAGCGGAGGCGGAAACGGUUACAGAGUAGAAGCAGAGCGGUGGUUAACUAUAUCGGAGAAACUCUUAGCAGCACGUGACUUGCACGGGGCUAAGAGCUUCGCGAUCCGAGCCAGAGCAUCCGACCCGAGACUCUACGAAUUCUCCGAUCAAAUCAUCGCCGUUGCCGACACUCUUCUCGCCGGAGAGUUACGUGUCGAGAACAAUCACCACUAUGAUUACUAUAUGAUUCUCCAACUCGGUCGCUUGACCCAGGAUCUCGAACUCAUUGCGGAUCAGUAUCGGAAGCUCGCCUUGUUGCUCAACCCGACGAGGAACCGGCUACUCUUCGCUGAUCAGGCGUUCAAGCUUGUGUCGGAGGCCUGGAUUGUGCUUUCGAAUCCUGCUAAGAAGGCAAUGUAUGAUCAUGAGUUACAACUGAGUCAGCUCGGUCUUCUCGUGACUCAGCAACCGCUACCUCCACCAUUUCAACAGCAACUGCCGUCUAAUCCUGAACCGAUUCGGCCUGUCCCGCAGUUCAGUAUGCCAUGGAUGCCUGAGUCGUCAAUUCGGUUCCCCUCUCAGACCAAACCCGCCGAGUCACCUCGUUCACAGACUCAGCAGAGAAAUCCCGAGCCAACUUGGCGACAGCCUCAGCAGAAACCAAUUGAACCGCCUAAGCAGCCUACCCCGCCGAAGGCCGCCACUGAGCUAAAUAAGCAGCCAACUCCGUCUAAGGCUCCCAAUGAGCCAACUCGGCAGCCUACCCCGCUGAAGGCUGCCACUGAGCUAUAUAAGCUGUCAACCUCGUCUAAGGAUCCCAGUGAGCCUACGCCGCUGAAGUCUUCCACUGAGCCAAAUAAGCAGUCAACUCUGUCUAAGAUUCCCACUGAGCCAACUCGGCCAGAGGUUGUGAUUGGGUUAUCUCGAUCAGCGCCAAAACCGAGUGCCACUGAUUCGAGGCAAGCGAUGAAGCACACAACCGCCUUCACCGCUGCUGCUGCAACUGGGACAAAGCAUGCGAAUGCGAGUGAGCCAGAGUUAUCGAGUUUUUGGACUGCGUGUCCUUAUUGUUAUAUACUUUACGAGUACCCUAAAGCUUACGAGGAGUGUACUCUAAGGUGUCAAAGUUGUAGAAGGGCAUUUCAUGCUGUCAUGGUACCAGCACCACCGGUGACUGGUAAAGAUACAUACUUUUGCUGCUGGGGUUUUUUUCCGUUGGGUUUUUCAGGUAAUAAUGAGAAAGGAGGUAAUGAGUUUGGUAGUAAUUGGUCUCCGUUUUCUGCAAUGUUUUCCACUCCUUUCCCAGCUGGUGGUGCUGUUGGUAGUGGUGGUCAAAUGUAUAAUAAAGUGAAGCAAAAGGUGAUUUAUAAAGAUGAUGUGUAUAUAGAUAUCUCUGACACAAGUGAAGAUGAGUCUGAUUCCGGUGAUGAGUGGGGUGUAAAAAAGAGAAAGAAACGAAAAAAUGCAAAGGGGAAAGGAACUCCGAAUAAACAUGCGAAAAAAUCACAAAAUGAAAGAUUGAAGAAGGGGGUAGGAGCAGGGGCUGGAACAGAAAAUAUUCAAAAUGAGGUUGGUGAUGGUGGGGGUAGUGUGCCAGAGGAGGUGGUGGAAAAGGGGGAAGGGAGUUGUGGCAAAAGGAAGGCAGCAAAAGAUUUGGGAAAGUUGGACUUGAAUGUGAUGUUUAGUAAUGAGGUGGAUGAGUCUGCACCUGGACCAAGUCAAAGGAAUGGGCCUGGGCAUGGGGAGGAGGAUAAUAUUGAAGGGAUUAGUUUUUUUGAGGGUCUUGAUGAGUUUUUAAGUACCUUGCCCAUACUUUCGGUUGUAGGGGAUGAUAAGGUGAAGGCUACUUAGCGAUGCAUAUUGGCUUUUGGGCAUUUUGUUUGCAGAAUUGCCUAGUAGUUGAAAUCUAAUUUUAUCUUGGUUGAUUUAGUUACUCCUUAACUAUCUGGAAUGGUUUGUUUCGUCUGUUUGGACUUUGAUGUUGGUGAGUGUUUGGUUGCAAGUAGCAGCGCAAAAUUCAGUUCAGUGAAUGACUGAGAGGAGCUUGAUCUUCAUUCUGAAAGGCAUGUAGGUUGAACAGCUCCUCAGCAGUGUAUGACGCUCAAGGAAUAUUUUGUGAGAUGAUGGAAAUGAGUUGCCUAUAAGUGAUGUAGCCCCCUGCAGUCCUUUUUCAUGAGAAGUGGCCGUGGACUCAUUUGGGCUAUCCAGGUAUCAUCUGCUGCUCUCACUCCCAGACAUGAGGUUUCCCUGUGAAGACAGUGAACGUGCAAUUCUUAAACGUGCGCCUGAAUAAGCUUUAUUGUCCAUUGAUGACAGUUAACUUUUCCAAAAUAUAGUUUCUGUGCCAUUAAUCUACCUUUUAGUUUCCCUAAGAUGCAUCUUCUUCCUCUGCCGAGUAUCAUUUAGUCUUAUCCUUCCCUUGUUGUGAUUGCGCAACCAUCCUUACCCACAUUUUGUUUGGUGCUACUCAUCAAGCAGCUGGGUUUACGUUUUGCCACUGACAGAAUUAAUAUAUACAUGCUCUCUCUGUAUGCUGCUCCAUCAUUGCAUGGUAGACCAUAGCGUUCAUUUUCAAA